This 307-nucleotide long non-coding RNA is filed under the name Oryza brachyantha (malo sina). Its description in RNAcentral is "long non-coding RNA (OBRA_LNC002262)". Lineage: Eukaryota; Viridiplantae; Streptophyta; Magnoliopsida; Poales; Poaceae. The record is from RNAcentral.
CAACAGGAAAGACUAGGUGUGAGAAUCUCGAGCAAAUUGCACCAAAUAAGUUGUUUGAGCAAGCUUCCACAAUGCGCCCUGCAGUAGUAUACUCCUCCAUCAGAUGGUUUCAUCUCUGGACAUGUAUGGCGGCAGCAAUCCUGUACCAUGGUUGAAGAUAUAUAGCAGUUAAGAAAUGUUGAUCAACCUCAACUAUGUAUGCCUGAUCUAGCUGACUGUAACCAUGGCCUCUGCCUGCCCAGAUUGAUGCCCGAUGAGAUUGUGUUAGGAUUCUUGUAGAUAAAACUAUUAAUUUUUGCAAUCAGUU